RNAcentral lists this long non-coding RNA (1463 nucleotides) under Macaca mulatta (Rhesus monkey). Its description in RNAcentral is "lncRNA (ENSMMUG00000062297.1)". Lineage: Eukaryota; Metazoa; Chordata; Mammalia; Primates; Cercopithecidae. The record is from RNAcentral.
UCAUGGGGGAGGCGGGUCUUUCUCCGUCAUGGGGGAGGCGGGUCUUUCUCUGUCAUGGGGGAGGCGGGUCUUUCUCUGUCAUGGGGGAGGCGGGUCUUUCUCUCUCAUGGGGGAGGCGGGUCUUUCUCUCUCAUGGGGGAGGCGGGUCUUUCUCUGCCAUGGGGGAGGCGGGUCUUUCUCUGUCAUGGGGGAGGCGGGUCUUGCUCUGUCAUGGGGGAGGCGGGUCUUUCUCUGCCUUCAGGGAGGCGGGUCUUUCUCUGCCAUGGGGGAGACGGGUCUUUCCCUGCCUUCAGGGAGGCGGGUCUUUCUCUGCCUUCAGGGAGGCGGGUCUUUCUCUGCCAUGGGGGAGGCGGGUCUUUCUCUGCCAUGGGGGAGGCGGGUCUUUCUCUGUCACGGGGGAGGCGGGUCUUUCUCUGUCACGUGGGAGGCGGGUCCUUCUCUGCCUUGAGGGAGGCGGGUCUUUCUCUGCCUUGAGGGAGGUGGGUCUUUCUCUCUCAUGGGGGAGGCGGGUCUUUCUCUGUCAUGGAGGAGGCGGGUCUUUCUCAUGGGGGAGGCGGGUCUUUCUCCAUCACAGGGGAGGCGGGUCUUUCUCUGUCGUGGGGGAGGCGGGUCUUUCUCUGCCGUGGGGGAGGCGGGUCUUUCUCCGUCACGGGGGAGGCGGGUCUUUCUCCGUCAUGGGGGAGGCGGGUCUUUCUCCGUCACGGGGGAGGCGGGUCUUUCUCUGUCACCGGGGAGGCGGGUCUUUCUCUGUCAUGGGGGAGGCGGGUCUUUCUCUGCCUUGAGGGAGGCUGGUCUUUCUCUGCCUUGAGGGAGGCGGGUCUUUCUCUGCCUUGAGGGAGGCGGGUCUUUCUCUGCCUUGAGGGAGGCGGGUCUUUCUCUGCCUUGAGGGAGGCGGGUCUUUCUCUGUCAUAGGGGAGGCGGGUCUUUCUCUCUCAUGGGGGAGGUGGGCCUUUCUCAUGGGGGAGGCGGGUCUUUCUCCGUCAUGGGGGAGGCGGGUCUUUCUCUGUCAUGGGGGAGGCGGGUCUUUCUCUGCCUUGAGGGAGGCGGGUCUUUCUCUGUCAUGGGGGAGGCGGAUCUUUCUCUGCCAUGGGGGAGGCGGGUCUUUCUCUGUCAUAGGGGAGGCGGGUCUUUCUCUGUCAUGGGGGAGGCGGAUCUUUCUCUGCCAUGGGGGAGGCGGAUCUUUCUCUGUCACGGGGGAGGCGGGUCUUUCUCUCUCAUGGGGGAGGCGGAUCUCUCUCUGCCAUGGGGGAGGCGGGUCUUUCUCUGUCACGGGGGAGGCGGGUCUUUCUCCGUCAUGGGGGAGGCGGGUCUUUCUCUGUCAUGGGGGAGGCGGGUCUUUCUCUGCCUUGAGGGAGGCAGGUCUUUCUCUGUCAUGGAAUAGGCGGGUCUUUCUCUGUCAUGGGGGAGGCGGAUCUUUCUCUGUCACGGGGGAGGCGGUUCUUUCUCCAUCACGGGGGAGGCGG